RNAcentral lists this long non-coding RNA (997 nucleotides) under Equus asinus (donkey). Its description in RNAcentral is "lncRNA (ENSEASG00005033166.1)". The record is from RNAcentral. Lineage: Eukaryota; Metazoa; Chordata; Mammalia; Perissodactyla; Equidae.
GUGCUAGCUGUGCGGCCCUCAGGCUCUGAGGGGCAUGAGUUUGCUGGCCUUGGAGAGGAAGGGUACAAGCGUGAGGUCCACAUCUUACCUUGGCAGGACUUCUUUGGGGCAGUGCAGGCCCUGCCCGUGGGGAGAUCUGCGGCAAGGUCUUGACCGAUGGAAGUUGCGAGUAACAGAAACCCACUCAAGUUAGCUUAAGCGGAGAGGGGGCUUCUCGGUAGGAUACUGGACUAUUGUGGACCCCAUGGACAGCCAGAACCCUCAAAGAACUAGAAUUAGUCCUGAAAGGGGGUCAGGCACCCUGGCAGUACUUUCUGUGUAUUUCGCACCUCUCCGUAUCCUUCUCCCUCUGCAGCCGGGCCUCGCCCAUUCCCUGUGGACAUGACCACCCCGCCAGCACCGGGGUUCACAUCUCCCUUGUUCCGGGGACCAGCUCAGGCCGUGCCCAGCCACCUCCCAGUUCUAACUCCAUAGAGAGAGAAUCUAAUUGGCCCUGUUGGGAACAGAUGUCACCCCUGGUCCAAUCAAGGGAGACCAAGGGGACAUCGCCAGAUACACCGCCCUCAAAUCCUCAGCUGGGCGUCUGCUUCUGGGAACCCAAACGAGGACAAGGACCCUGAAGUUUGGGGACAGGGACCCAGGAGUCACAUUAUUCUCUUAGGACACCUGUGCAUUCGUUCAUCCAGCCCCUGAAUAUUGACUGAGUAUCUACUCCGUGCCAGGGGGUGUGCUGACAAAUAUAGGAGAGAAAUAGGAAAAACCCGACAGUCUGAACAGCCAUAUAAAGAGAGAAGGGCUUUUUACAAGGAGAGUCUGGGAAGCCAAAGGCUGACUGUGGUAUUAUUUCACUGUAUAAAAACUAUGACUCACGGAGGAAAAGGGAACACGGAAUCCCAGAAUACGAUGGGCACCCCCUUUAAAAUCUGAGAGAGGUAGUUUAGGGCAAAUUAAAGGAAUUCUUCAUCCAACAGUGAAUAGCAAAUUUAUUCACCUCCAG